UAAAUGUGAUAUUAUGAAAAAUAAGGAAUCAUUCCUCAACAUGAUUUUCAAAGUUUUUCAGUAAGCUCCGGGACGAUUUCAAAUAAGUCACCUACAAUUCCCACAUCUGCUGUUUGAAAGAUAGGAGCAUUUUCAUCGCGAUUUAUAGCAGCAAUGACUUUGCUAUCUUUGAUUCCGGCAAGAUGCUGAAUAGCACCAUCAAUUCCAACAGCAAUAUAAAGCUUUGGGGCGAUGAUUUUUCCAGUUUGACCUAUUUGUAAAGAAUUAUCAGCAUAGCCAGAAUCCACGGCAACACGUGUAGCACCAAUUGCUGCACCCAAUUUGUCAGCCAAAGGUGUAAGGAUGCGUUCAAAUGUCUCUUUGUCUUUCAAAGGUCGACCACCAGCAACAACUCUUUCGGCAGAAGACAAAUCAGGCCUAGCAUUCUUUAUAAUAUUCUCACUAACCCAUUCUUGUAGAGCAGCUGGUUUUGGAUCAAUACCUUCAACAACAGUGGCUGCUCCUUCACCACUUGAAGGAGCGGCGUCAAAUGCAGAUGCACGAACGGUGACGAUUUUAAUAGGAUCCUUUGUAGACACAGUAACGUUUACGUUUCCCGCGUAUGUCGGACGAACGAAUGUGUCAGCAGAAACCACACCAAUAAUGUCACUAAUCUGCAUCACAUCAAACAUAGCAGCCAAACGAGGCAUCACCCCUUUACCAACAGUUGAAUGAGCAGAAAAAACAUGACUAAUUUCAUUUUUCUUAACAUUUUCAAAAAGAACAUUGGCUAUUUGAUCGGGAAUGUUAUGCUCAUAUGACGGAUUCUCAACGUAGAUAACCUUUUUCAAAUCGUUCACCGAUUUUGCUACCUUUUGAGAAAUUUGAGAAGAAUCCUUACCGAUUACAAAUCCAAAAACAUCCCCACCGGUACGCUUUGCUGCUUCUACUGCUGACAAGGAUGCUGGAGACAAGUUCCCUCCCUGAUGCUCAAGCAACGUCAAAACACUAAACCAAUGCCUUCUUCCACAAUUUAUUUUAAAGUUAGAAGAAGACAAAGCCCUAGAAAAUGUCCGGCUAGUAGUCCUUAGCAUGUUAGAAUACUUCGUUGUAGGUUUGAGGGUGAAUGAGGAUGUACGCUGACAAUAUGUAUGUUCACAUAUUAUACUAAGAAAAAA
Schizosaccharomyces pombe (fission yeast) is the source of this 1157-nucleotide non-coding RNA. The record is from the annotation of a GenBank genome assembly. NCBI's taxonomy places the organism in Eukaryota, Fungi, Ascomycota, Schizosaccharomycetes, Schizosaccharomycetales, Schizosaccharomycetaceae.